GACCGGUCGAAUGGCCUAAUCGUCAGAGCGUCCGCCUUGGGUGCGGGAGAUCGCAGGUUCAAACCCGCGGCCGAGUCA
Molecule: non-coding RNA, 78 nt
Organism: Potamilus streckersoni
Lineage: Eukaryota; Metazoa; Mollusca; Bivalvia; Unionida; Unionidae
Source: the annotation of a GenBank genome assembly